RNAcentral lists this ribosomal RNA (479 nucleotides) under uncultured bacterium. RNAcentral's name for it is "partial 16S ribosomal RNA". It matches the Rfam family "Bacterial small subunit ribosomal RNA", at positions 28 to 523 of the family's 1533-position model. The record is from RNAcentral.
GACGAACGCUGGCGGCGUGCUUAACACAUGCAAGUCGAACGGUAAGGCCCUUCGGGGUACACGAGUGGCGAACGGGUGAGUAACACGUGGGUGAUCUGCCCUGCACUUCGGGAUAAGCCUGGGAAACUGGGUCUAAUACCGGAUAGGACCACUGCCUGCAUGGGUGGUGGUGGAAAGCUUUUGCGGUGUGGGGAUGGGCCCGCGGCCUAUCAGCUUGUUGGUGGGGUGAUGGCCUACCAAGGCGACGACGGGUAGCCGGCCUGAGAGGGUGACCGGCCACAGUGGGACGGAGAUACGGCCCAGACGCCUACGGGAGGCAGCAGUGGGGAAUAUUGCACAAUGGGCGCAAGCCUGAUGCAGCGACGCCGCGUGAGGGAUGACGGCCUUCGGGUUGUAAACCUCUUUCAGCACCGACGAAGCGCAAGUGACGGUAGGUGCAGAAGAAGGACCGGCCAACUACGUGCCAGCCGCCGCCGUAA